UACGGGGGGGGCAAGCGUUGUUCGGAAUUACUGGGCGUAAAGAGUGUGUAGGCGGCCAGGUAGGUCUGCUGUGAAAACUCGAGGCUCAACCUCGAGACGUCGGCGGAAACCAUCUGGCUAGAGUCCGGAAGAGGAGAGUGGAAUUCCUGGUGUAGCGGUGAAAUGCGCAGAUAUCAGGAAGAACACCCGUGGCGAAGGCGGCUCUCUGGGACGGUACUGACGCUGAGACGCGAAAGCGUGGGGAGCGAACAGG
Molecule: ribosomal RNA, 253 nt
Filed under: uncultured bacterium
Lineage: Bacteria
Description: partial 16S ribosomal RNA
Rfam family: Bacterial small subunit ribosomal RNA
Source: RNAcentral